GCUAACCCAGGGUACCAUCUGUGGGGGGCAACGUGCUUGCUGAAUGGCACUCCGGCUGCGUGGUUGCCAAUGCGGACUCCGAUUUCCCUGGCCGAGAGACAAAGCCUGUGGCCCUAACGUCCGUCUCCGGGCCCGGGUGGCUUUUUGCUCUGUGGUGUUGGCAGAGUAUUCUGGCCUGGCACGGGUUAAGAGGCCACUGCGACUCUUGGCACCGUGCGUCCUUUCUCCCCCUCCAGUGCGACGCUGGCGAACCCUGCGCGGUGCGGAAAGGGGCCCGCAUUGGGCGCCUCUGUACCUGCCCCCGUGGGACGUCUUGCAACUUGUACAUCCUCAAGUGCUUGUGAAGGAGGAGCCGUCGAGGGGGGGCCUAGGGGGGCCUUUGGAAAGCAGGCAUUUGCUCACAGGGACUCUUUCAGUGAACGUUGUUUCUGAUGAACUUCAGGUGAACGGAACUCCUACCGCAUCAUCCAUUAUUAUCUCUCUGGGCGGACAGAGGCCUCUGAUUGCACCUGCCCAGCACAGACUGUGAAACGCAGCCCANCGGCUCCUGUGGCGGGCUGUUCCACUGGCCANNGCUUGUUGCGACGCUUCCCCUGGNCAAGACNCGUGCCCAGUGCUGCUCUGACGAANGGCAGCAAAUGCGGGGGAGGGUGGCGCUGCCCCAGCUGCCAGCAUAAGGAGGAAACCCCGCCCCCAUAAUUCUGAUGUCUCUACUCUCCUAAGAAGACCUCCUCUGCCUUUUGCCCGGGCACCUGAGGAGCAGAAGCGUCUCUUCUCCUUCAGCAGCGAGACUCCCGUGUUGCUGUCCUGGUAAGGGCGGAUCGGGGCCUUUACGCGCCUGGACGUGCAGCACUGCGUUUGUACAGCACCAGGCAAAUACACACUCAGUCUACGUGCUGCUGCGUUCCGGCUGUGUGGUUCUUGCGUGUGUGG
Molecule: long non-coding RNA, 933 nt
Filed under: Salvator merianae (Argentine black and white tegu)
Lineage: Eukaryota; Metazoa; Chordata; Lepidosauria; Squamata; Teiidae
Description: lncRNA (ENSSMRG00000006989.1)
Source: RNAcentral